This 164-nucleotide ribosomal RNA is filed under the name Macrocnemum roseum. RNAcentral's name for it is "5.8S ribosomal RNA". It matches the Rfam family "5.8S ribosomal RNA". From Rfam's summary of the family: 5.8S ribosomal RNA (5.8S rRNA) is a component of the large subunit of the eukaryotic ribosome. It is transcribed by RNA polymerase I as part of the 45S precursor that also contains 18S and 28S rRNA. Lineage: Eukaryota; Viridiplantae; Streptophyta; Magnoliopsida; Gentianales; Rubiaceae. The record is from RNAcentral. RNAcentral also lists the same sequence under 1 other name.
AAAACGACUCUCGGCAACGGAUAUCUCGGCUCUCGCAUCGAUGAAGAACGUAGCGAAAUGCGAUACUUGGUGUGAAUUGCAGAAUCCCGUGAACCAUCGAGUCUUUGAACGCAAGUUGCGCCCGAAGCCGUUAGGCAGAGGGCACGCCUGCCUGGGCGUCACGC